This 520-nucleotide ribosomal RNA is filed under the name uncultured Glomus. RNAcentral's name for it is "SSU rRNA". It matches the Rfam family "Eukaryotic small subunit ribosomal RNA", at positions 569 to 1095 of the family's 1831-position model. Lineage: Eukaryota; Fungi; Glomeromycota; Glomeromycetes; Glomerales; Glomeraceae. The record is from RNAcentral.
AGCAGCCGCGGUAAUUCCAGCUCCAAUAGCGUAUAUUAAAGUUGUUGCAGUUAAAAAGCUCGUAGUUGAAUUUCGGGAUCAAUAUGUUGGUCGUGCCUUGGUACGUACUAAUUUAUUGGUUUCUUCCUUCUGACGAACCAUGAUGUCAUUAAUUUGGUGUCUUGGGAAUCAGGACUGUUACUUUGAAAAAAUUAGAGUGUUUAAAGCAGGCUCACGCUUGAAUACAUUAGCAUGGAAUAAUGAAAUAGGACGUUUGAUUCUAUUUUGUUGGUUUCUAGGAUUGACGUAAUGAUUAAUAGGGAUAGUUGGGGGCAUUAGUAUUCAAUUGUCAGAGGUGAAAUUCUUGGAUUUAUUGAAGACUAACUACUGCGAAAGCAUUUGCCAAGGAUGUUUUCAUUAAUCAAGAACGAAAGUUAGGGGAUCGAAGACGAUCAGAUACCGUCGUAGUCUUAACCAUAAACUAUGCCGACUAGGGAUCGGAUGAUGUAAUUUUUAAUGACUCAUUCGGCGCCUUACGGGA